UCUGUUUCAUCCGUAUAGGAAUCAUCAGGUGGUCUGAUGAUUCCUAUACGGAUGAUUCCUAUACAGACCACCUGAUGAUUCCUAUACGGAUGAAACAGA
Molecule: non-coding RNA, 99 nt
Organism: Paramuricea clavata
Lineage: Eukaryota; Metazoa; Cnidaria; Anthozoa; Malacalcyonacea; Plexauridae
Source: the annotation of a GenBank genome assembly